UACGUAGGGUGCAAGCGUUGUCCGGAAUUAUUGGGCGUAAAGAGCUCGUAGGCGGUUUGUCGCGUCGAAUGUGAAAACCCGGGGCUCAACCCCCGGGCCUGCAUUCGAUACGGGCAGACUAGAGUUCGGUAGGGGAGUCUGGAAUUCCUGGUGUAGCGGUGAAAUGCGCAGAUAUCAGGAGGAACACCGGUGGCGAAGGCGGGACUCUGGGCCGAUACUGACGCUGAGGAGCGAAAGCGUGGGGAGCAAACAGG
RNAcentral lists this ribosomal RNA (254 nucleotides) under uncultured bacterium. RNAcentral describes it as "partial 16S ribosomal RNA". It matches the Rfam family "Bacterial small subunit ribosomal RNA", at positions 524 to 776 of the family's 1533-position model. The record is from RNAcentral.